GGCCCAGUGAUCUAGGGGUAUGGUUCCUGCCUUGUGUGCAGGAGGUCCCGGGUUCAAAUCCCGGCUGAGCCC
Molecule: transfer RNA, 72 nt
Filed under: Blattella germanica (German cockroach)
Lineage: Eukaryota; Metazoa; Arthropoda; Insecta; Blattodea; Blattellidae
Description: tRNA-Thr (TGT) (tRNA-Thr-TGT-27-1)
Rfam family: tRNA
About the family: Transfer RNA (tRNA) molecules are approximately 80 nucleotides in length. Their secondary structure includes four short double-helical elements and three loops (D, anti-codon, and T loops).
Source: RNAcentral